This 406-nucleotide ribosomal RNA is filed under the name uncultured bacterium. RNAcentral's name for it is "partial 16S ribosomal RNA". It matches the Rfam family "Bacterial small subunit ribosomal RNA", at positions 29 to 526 of the family's 1533-position model. The record is from RNAcentral.
AUUGAACGCUGGCGGCAGGCCUAACACAUGCAAGUCGAACGAGUGGCGGACGGGUGAGUAAUGUCUGGGAAACUGCCUGAUGGAGGGGGAUAAAUACUGGAAACGGUAGCUAAUACCGCAUACCAUCAGAUGUGCCCAGAUGGGAUGAGCUUGUUGGUGGGGUAACGGCUCCCUAAGGCGACGAUCCCUAGCUGGGCUGAGAGGAUGACCAGCCACACUGGAACUGAGACACGGGCCAGACUCCUACGGGAGGCAGCGGUGGGGAAUAUUGCACAAUGGGAGCAAUCCGGAUGCAGCCAUGCCGCGUGUAUGAAGAAGGCCUUCGGGUUGUAAAGUACGUUCAGCGGGGAGGCGGUACCCGCAGAAGAAGCACCGGCUAACUCCGUGCCAGCCGCCGCGGUAAUAC